UUUUAGAUUUACCAUGAGCAUUCGCGUCUAACUUUUGAUUGUCCGUUUUAUUUUAAUUUUUUUAUAAAUAGUAUUUUUGUUGGUAUGAGAUGAUAAAACAUAAAUAGUACUUCACUAGUGACUUAUGUUUUUAAAUUUUUUUAAAAAAAUUUUAAGUAAGACGGAUGAUUAAAAUUGGACUCGGAAAAUCAUAGUUGCACUUAAA
Molecule: microRNA precursor, 205 nt
Organism: Oryza sativa Indica Group (long-grained rice)
Lineage: Eukaryota; Viridiplantae; Streptophyta; Magnoliopsida; Poales; Poaceae
Rfam family: MIR812 microRNA precursor family
Source: Rfam